Labeo rohita (rohu) is the source of this 610-nucleotide long non-coding RNA. RefSeq lists it as uncharacterized. The transcript is spliced from 2 exons. Lineage: Eukaryota; Metazoa; Chordata; Actinopteri; Cypriniformes; Cyprinidae. The record is from RefSeq and is a predicted model, not a curated record.
CGGACAGCCCGGGGUCCUGAAACAGCCAUUUGAACUUGUUUACUUUGUGAACAGAGCAAGAAACUCUGUGACAAGAUGCAAAAAAUAAUAAAGCGUAUCGGACCCAAAUAUGUCUCCAUCGCCAGAGCGUGGGUUCCCACGCUGGUCGGAUGGGGUACAGUUGGUGGCCUGGCUGUUGUCUAUUUUACAGACUGGCGGGUGAUUCUGGAUUAUGUUCCCUACAUCAGAGGAAAAUUCAAGAAGGAUGACUAGUUGUCCAGCUCCUUACGGAUCUGUGGAACGCGGUUUCUGUGCAUUUUUACAGGGAACAAAUAGCUGAUGCUUUGACUAAGAUAGCCAGUAGGCGGCGCUGGUGAUGCGACAUUCAGCCAUAAAGACCGAAGAGGAUUAUCUGUCACUUUAAGACUUCAUUUUAUUUUUUUUCAUUUUUUUCCUUUAGAUAGCAUGUCUUGCUAAUAAGUUGCUGUCUUUUUGUACAGAGAGUAGGAAAUGGUUCUGCUUUAUGCUUGGCACAUCACUCAGUUCGAGUUUGCACAAUGAGCAUAAAAUAUGUUGUAUUUACUUAAAAGUGUUAUAUUGUGUUACUUUUGUGAAUAAAUAGUAAUGUAUA